Non-coding RNA from Oryza nivara, 203 nucleotides. NCBI's taxonomy places the organism in Eukaryota, Viridiplantae, Streptophyta, Magnoliopsida, Poales, Poaceae. The record is from Rfam.
AAAAAAGACAAAUUUGGGUUUUCAUGUCCAACGUUUGACUGUCUAUCUUAUAUAUUUUUUUUAAAUUAAUAUUUUUAUUGCUGUUAGAUGAUAAAACAUGAUUAAUACUUUAUGCAUGACUUGUCUUUUUAAUUUUUUUAUAAUUUUUUCAAAUAAGACGGACGGUCAAACGUUGGGCACGGAAAUCUAGGGUUUGUCUUUUU